RNAcentral lists this ribosomal RNA (303 nucleotides) under uncultured bacterium. RNAcentral describes it as "partial 16S ribosomal RNA". It matches the Rfam family "Bacterial small subunit ribosomal RNA", at positions 507 to 807 of the family's 1533-position model. The record is from RNAcentral.
AGCAGCAGCCACGGUAAUACGUAGGUGGCAAGCGUUGUCCGGAAUUAUUGGGCGUAAAGGGCUCGCAGGCGGUUUCUUAAGUCUGAUGUGAAAGCCCCCGGCUCAACCGGGGAGGGUCAUUGGAAACUGGGAAACUUGAGUGCAGAAGAGAAGAGUGGAAUUCCACGUGUAGCGGUGAAAUGCGUAGAGAUGUGGAGGAACACCAGUGGCGAAGGCGACUCUCUGGUCUGUAACUGACGCUGAGGAGCGAAAGCGUGGGGAGCGAACAGGAUUAGAUACCCCUGUAGUCCCUGUCUCUUAUAC